RNAcentral lists this ribosomal RNA (460 nucleotides) under uncultured bacterium. Its description in RNAcentral is "partial 16S ribosomal RNA". It matches the Rfam family "Bacterial small subunit ribosomal RNA", at positions 338 to 795 of the family's 1533-position model. The record is from RNAcentral.
CCUACGGGAGGCAGCAGUGAGGAAUAUUGGUCAAUGGACGAGAGUCUGAACCAGCCAAGUAGCGUGAAGGAUGACUGCCCUAUGGGUUGUAAACUUCUUUUAUAAAGGAAUAAAACGAGGCACGUGUGCCUUUUUGCAUGUACUUUAUGAAUAAGGAUCGGCUAACUCAGUGCCAGCAGCCGCGGUAAUACGGAGGAUUCGAGCGUUAUCCGGAUUUAUUGGGUUUAAAGGGAGCGUAGAUGGGUUGUUAAGUCAGUUGUGAAAGUUUGCGGCUCAACCGUAAAAUUGCAAUUGAUACUGGCAGUCUUGAGUACAGUUGAGGUAGGCGGAAUGCGUGGUGUAGCGGUGAAAUGCUUAGAUAUCACGAAGAACCCCGAUUGCGAAGGCAGCUUACUAAACUGUGACUGACAUUGAUGCUCGAAAGUGUGGGUAGCAAACAGGAUUAGAUACCCCUGUAGUC